ACCAGAUAAGACAGCUGAAUGAUAGUCGGGCUGAAGACUCUACUUGACUAGCUGAGAGGAGGUGCAUGGCCGCCGUCAGUUCGUACUGUGAAGCAUCCUGUUAAGUCAGGCAACGAGCGAGACCCACGCCAACAGUUGCCAGCUCGUCCUCCGGGAUGGUGGGGACACUGUUGGGACCGCCUCUGCUAAAGAGGAGGAAGGAAUGGGCAACGGUAGGUCAGCAUGCCCCGAAUUAUCUGGGCUACACGCGGGCUACAAUGGGUGGGACAAUGGGUAUCGACACCGAAAGGUGAAGGCAAUCUCCUAAACCCAUCCGUAGUUCGGAUUGUGGGCUGCAACUCCGCCCACAUGAAGCUGGAAUCUGUAGUAAUCGUGUCUCAAAAUGGCACGGUGAAUAUGUCCCUGCUCCUU
This 411-nucleotide ribosomal RNA is filed under the name uncultured Methanomicrobiales archaeon. RNAcentral's name for it is "bacterial SSU rRNA". It matches the Rfam family "Archaeal small subunit ribosomal RNA", at positions 929 to 1338 of the family's 1478-position model. The record is from RNAcentral. Lineage: Archaea; Methanobacteriati; Methanobacteriota; Methanomicrobia; Methanomicrobiales.